AGACAAAUAGCUGGGAACUUAUGGAAAAACGCAUUACGCUGGAGCUAAUUCCAAAGAAAUGUUGGUUGUGGGGGGAUCCAACAAUCGCUGAAGGGAGCUGGGAGUAUAGGUGUGUGUACAGCAUGCUGCCUCUUCUCAAGCCCAUCUCCCUGCUUCAGCGCUCACGGCUCCAUUUAAUGGCUCCCAAAUACAUUCUGGCCUUCCUGCAGAUAGAAGGCAGCCAAGCAUAACGCUGCUUAAUAACUGCAUCCUGAACAAAUGGAAAGGAGUGGGACUCUUCUUUUCCUAGAUGGCAGGGAGAUUUGUAAGAAGAUGCAUCAUCUCCAAUUCUUACAUCUGUCAAAUGUUCAAAUGAUUUGAAUAAAUGUCACCUGAAUUUCAUGCAGUUAUUUGUUAAUUUUGUAAAUAGCAUUUUAGUAGAAUUUUCACAUUCAAACAAAUUGCAUUUUAGGAUAAUUGUAGGGAAAAGUGUAUAAACACCACAUCUCUGUGUGUUAUUUUUGUGUUAUUUUUUUUAAACACAUCUUUGUGUGGAAAUGUUUAACACGCAGGAUGUGAUGAAUGUACUAUCACACGGACUGUGCUAAAAGCAACACAAAAUGUGUUGUCCUUAACUAGACACACCGGUGUGUUAAAAUGUGGGUUAAAAAUUAACACGUGUUAAAUAUAUCCACACAAAGAUGUUUUAACAAUAACACACAACAUGUUUUAAAUGUACUAACACACUGUGUUAAAACCAACACAAAAUGUAUUGUCCUUAAG
Ictalurus punctatus (channel catfish) is the source of this 762-nucleotide long non-coding RNA. Lineage: Eukaryota; Metazoa; Chordata; Actinopteri; Siluriformes; Ictaluridae. The record is from Ensembl.